AUUGAACGCUGGCGGCAGGCCUAACACAUGCACGUCGAGCGGAUGAAGGGAGCUUGCUCCUGGAUUCAGCGGCGGACGGGUGAGUAAUGCCUAGGAAUCUGCCUGGUAGUGGGGGAUAACGUCCGGAAACGGGCGCUAAUACCGCAUACGUCCUGAGGGAGAAAGUGGGGGAUCUUCGGACCUCACGCUAUCAGAUGAGCCUAGGUUGGAUUAGCUAGUUGGUGGGGUAAAGGCCUACCAAGGCGACGAUCCGUAACUGGUCUGAGAGGAUGAUCAGUCACACUGGAACUGAGACACGGUCCAGACUCCUACGGGAGGCAGCAGUGGGGAAUAUUGGACAAUGGGCGAAAGCCUGAUCCAGCCAUGCCGCGUGUGUGAAGAAGGUCUUCGGAUUGUAAAGCACUUUAAGUUGGGAGGAAGGGCAGUAAGUUAAUACCUUGCUGUUUUGACGUUACCAACAGAAUAAGCACCGGCUAACUUCGUG
RNAcentral lists this ribosomal RNA (484 nucleotides) under uncultured bacterium. Its description in RNAcentral is "partial 16S ribosomal RNA". It matches the Rfam family "Bacterial small subunit ribosomal RNA", at positions 30 to 507 of the family's 1533-position model. The record is from RNAcentral.